CAUUACCGAGUUAUUCAACUCAUCAACCCUGUGAACAUACCUAAACGUUGCUUCGGCGGGAAUAGACGGCCCCGUGAAACGGGCCGCCCCCGCCAGAGGACCCUUAACUCUGUUUCUAUAAUGUUUCUUCUGAGUAAAACAAGCAAAUAAAUUAAAACUUUCAACAACGGAUCUCUUGGCUCUGGCAUCGAUGAAGAACGCAGCGAAAUGCGAUAAGUAAUGUGAAUUGCAGAAUUCAGUGAAUCAUCGAAUCUUUGAACGCACAUUGCGCCCGCCAGUAUUCUGGCGGGCAUGCCUGUUCGAGCGUCAUUACAACCCUCAGGCCCCCGGGCCUGGCGUUGGGGAUCGGCGGAGCCUCUCUGUGGGCACACGCCGUCCCCCAAAUACAGUGGCGGUCCCGCCGCAGCUUCCAUCGCGUAGUAGCUAACACCUCGCGACUGGAGAGCGGCGCGGCCACGCCGUAAAACACCCAACUCUUCUGAAGUUGACCUCGAAUCAGGUAGGAAUACCCG
RNAcentral lists this ribosomal RNA (512 nucleotides) under fungal sp. E14524D. RNAcentral describes it as "eukaryotic LSU rRNA". The stretch from base 156 to 309 matches the Rfam family "5.8S ribosomal RNA". The record is from RNAcentral. Lineage: Eukaryota; Fungi.